This 97-nucleotide signal recognition particle RNA is filed under the name Gammaproteobacteria bacterium. Its description in RNAcentral is "signal recognition particle sRNA small type". It matches the Rfam family "Bacterial small signal recognition particle RNA". Rfam says of the family: The signal recognition particle (SRP) is a universally conserved ribonucleoprotein involved in the co-translational targeting of proteins to membranes. Archaeal SRP consists of a 7S RNA and homologues of the eukaryotic SRP19 and SRP54 proteins. In most bacteria, the SRP consists of a 4.5S RNA and the Ffh protein (a homologue of the eukaryotic SRP54 protein). Lineage: Bacteria; Pseudomonadati; Pseudomonadota; Gammaproteobacteria. The record is from RNAcentral.
CACGGGUCCCCCCGCGACGACUAGCCGUGAACCCCGCCAGGCCCGGAAGGGAGCAACGGUAACGGUGAACUCGGGCGCCGGGGUGUGGCUGGUGUGG